CAAGGUUCCCGGUGACACCCCCUCGCGGGGUCCCUCCUGGGUAUCCCACCCGUGCCUAUUUACUCUUGUUGCUUUGGCGGGCCGUGGCCUCCACGGCGGGCUCUGCUCGCUCGUGCCCGCCAGAGAAUCAAACUCUGAAUAUUAGUGAUGUCUGAGUACUAUAUAAUAGUUA
This 172-nucleotide unclassified non-coding RNA is filed under the name uncultured fungus. RNAcentral describes it as "sequence contains ITS1, 5.8S rRNA gene". The record is from RNAcentral. Lineage: Eukaryota; Fungi.